GUGCAGGAUGAGCCAUGGAAGAAUGCAGUGCGGAGCAAGGAGGAAAGAGAUGACCCAUGGGAAGGGCGUCUUCAUCCGCUCUGGGAGCCCAGCAGUGAAAAGCAGGAGGGAAUGGUGAGCUGUGAAGCUUUCAGCAGCUUUCCAGGAAGCUGGUUCCCUGUUGUCCGUGGAGCAGGCACCUGGAAGUCCUGAUCUCACAGAUUCCUGCUAGCACUGCUGGGGAACAGGGCUGUCCCUGCCUCGAGCCCUCCGUGCUCUCCCUGCAAAAACCCGGCCCCUAGUCUGCCCAGGGGUCCAUCCACACUCCAGGUCCAUCCAGCACUGUCCUUCCUCUGAGCUUGUCCAGUGCUAGUUGCUGCAGGAGAAGAUAUUAAUUUCAGUGGACUUCAUGAUGUGUUUUGGCUUCUUUGUCUGGAUUGAUACAAGACAGUUCCAAGAUCAUGGCAGAUGCUCAGGUCUUCAGACAAACACGUAUUUUCAAGGAGCAAGCAUGGAGGGCCUUAGCAGGUGAAGUUACUAGACCUACCCUAAAACUCCGGGUUUAUAUCCUUGACGAUGGGCUACACAGAAGCACUAAAACCAUCGCACACAAAGGCACCACGGGAUUUCCACCAUCAACAUGAGCUCUCUGCCUGCCUCUGGCACUAGCUGUCAGAACUGCUUCAUCUGAAAUCAAGGAAGAAAAGCCCAGCACUGCAAUUCACAUUUUAAGAAUGAUCGAGUGCUUUAACUGUUUGUUAGUUCUCCUUGGAUAUGUAUUGUAUUUAAAGGACUGCACAUAGUUUAUAUUCCCAUCUGAUACAUGAAGAAUAAGCCUUUUUUGUCAAGGGCUCCUAAAGCUAUUAAACCUUACAGAUGGUGUGUGGAAAAGCUGAAGGAGAAAAAUUGCAGACAAAAAAAAGAGAGAACUUUGCUUAAGGGAGGGGAAAGGAACUCCUACCAAGAGUCGAAGAGAUCCUGCAGAGCUCUUCAAAGUCUUCAAACUGUCUCAUAUAAAACAGCCUGAGAAUCAACAACGAACAGAAGUUUAUGAAAAAUGUCCCACCAUCUUAAUGUUAGCGGUGCUGUAUUUCAUUCCCGUGCGUGCCAGCAGCAGAAAAAUUUUGACAAGAAGCCCAGUUUCUGAAGCUUUGACACAAAGCAUUUCAGAGACGGAGAUUCCUGUCACUGUCGUGCUGGAGCCAGCGGGUCGCAGAAGGGAGCGCACUGCCACGGGGAGCGAUCCCGGCUGGGAUGGCAAAGAGCCACCUCGGCCCCAGGGGAGAGGAGCCACUGACACCACGAGGAUGACCCUGAGAGGAAGUGGAUUCAAAUCUUUGGAAGACAGAAACUGAGGUAGAGAGAGAGUCAUACAGCCCUUCGCUAUGGACGAGGUACCACAGAGCCGCGUCCAGGAGUUGAGACAGGGGCUCUGGAAGGGAAAGGGCAAACCUCGCUCCCUGGCACACCAAAGACAAGCAAAGAACAAACAAGAAGAUUAAAGGAAACCACCAAAAGCUGUAGAAUUGUCAGCUAGUACUAGUGCUCAUUAUAUGGAUGAAGUUGUUGACAUUUUACAUAUAUAAAUGGUCUGAGAAAAGCUAUGUAAAGACUUGAAAAGAAGCCUUUCUUUUGACAAGAGGAAAAAGGAAAAAAUGUUAAGAACCUCUGCUGAAAUUUAUUGGAAAAUGAUUCUUCAAAUUCUGCUGUUUUAUAUACCCCAAAUCUCCUGCCUUUGCCUCUCUUGCUAUUGAUGCCACCGGAAAGGAGCAUAUUCUGCACAACUCUAGAAGUUAAGCUUUGUAUUUCAAUGCAUUUGCUACUGCCCCUUUAGAAAUACGAGAUACAAGCCUGAAACUACUACAGAUCUUCAUCUGAGUAUUAGCUCAUUCAGCAGUUGAAAGAAACACUAUCUCCAGCAGCCUAUAGGCAAAAUUCCCACCAACAUCAAGGGAGCAGAAAACCAAGAAUGGGAGCAGGAGGGAGGUCAGCAUCAGAUCAGACAGGAGCAGAGCACGACUUUCACAGAGCAGCAACACAGAUGGAUUGGGCAGCACAGUGACGGCAGCAGCAGCAGCAGUGAGACCCUGGAGCUGGAGGCUAGUAACGAAACUCUGAUUGACCAUCCCUCAGCUUUGAAGAGUGUCUUUUCCCAUCUCAGCCAUACAAAUUGUCUACCUCAACUUAUCUUCACCUUCUUCCAACAUAUAGCUCCUCUGACCGCUGUGUUUGCUAGGAAUCUGCCAACUGAUCACGUUCAGAGACAUCUGGGAAGGACAUUAGAAAGAUCUGGAGCCCCAAAGGUUGGAUUAAGAUCUUCACUUCUUCAACAGCUGAGGUAAUCAGGGUGACAUUACUGCCGGCACAAAAAUGACAUCUCGUCAUCAGAAAUUUUCUUCAUUGGCACCGAAAAUGCCAGGCACAUCACCUCUGACUGUGUGGCCACCACAUCUAUGAACCUUAUUGAUUUGGAGUCAUGCUGUGCCACACUGGAAAACUGCUCCCUGCUGAAAGACUCAAGUGGAUCAAUCCUGAACCAUGAACAGAAACUCAAUAACAAAAUGUAGUAGGCACCUUUUCCCAUUAAGUAUUCCUCAAAGUAAAUUACAUUAGAGAACAUCACCAUGAGGAACUUCCCUUGGGAUCUGUGGCCUUCCAGAAACUAACACAGAGAAACAGCAAAACAGGAAGGAAAAGAUGUGUAUAUUGCCAAAGACAAGCACAGUCGAGCAAUUGUGUAGAUGAGUCCUAAGGGCAAAAAGAAAGGAGAGCCGGUGGCAGAAAGAAAAGAUUGCACAACCUUGUCAGAAGUCUCUACACUUGCAUCCUGAGGCACAUGCUAACUUCCCUGGACUUCAAUACAAUCUGAGUGCAGACUUAAAGAUCAACCUGUUCAAGCGUUGCGCUGAACUGAAAUGGAGUCAAGGACUGUAGUCUUCGGGCCGCAGCCUGGAAGCUGCUCAUCUCUCUUGGGCUUCUUCAGAAAAGACAGAUAUCUUGGAUUGUGGACUGCAAGGGACCAGUCAUUCCUUGUGGCUCAAUAUUACCUUCAGCAUGAUCCAAACCACAAAUGUGAGACUUUAGUUAUCCUCCCUUUGUUUCAACAGAAUGGAACAUUUUCAUGAUCUUUAUGAUUUUUAUGACUUGUUUAUCAGCUGAAAAAAAACCCCAAAUUUGUUCUUAAUUGGAUGAAUUCUUUUUUGGAGCUGUGUACCUGUUGGGACUGACAUGUUUCAGGUUGCUUUUCUGCUCUUGCUCCUGCAGAAGAAUGGGAGCAACUGGAAACUGUCCUUCAGAGUUAAUCCAAAGCACCUGCAGAGCAGCACAGAAAUGGGAAUGGCUCCAGCAUCACCUCCCUGCCCCACGCGUCUGGGGCGCCUUAGCCCUUUCCCCACCACACUGUGGCUCAUCCUUCCCUGGCAUCAGAUACCACUGAUCCUGGCUUUCCUUGGCCCCUAUUUCUUCCCGAGCACAAGCGGACUCUGCUCACUAGUCCAAAACAGUGCAAUACGUCUCAUAAUUUCUCCCUUAAGAGGUCUAAUCCUUUGGAUUUCAUGAAGGCACUUUUCCUGUUGACUUCAACAGAAGUUGUAUCUGAAGACGAAUGGCAGGAUAAUAUCCAUUUGAAAUAUAAGUGGACAGCAGCAUCAAAUGAGAUGGUUGUUGAAAAGGGACUGAAAGGAAAAUGAUGAUGGGGCAAAACUAUUCCUUCAUACCAACACCUUCAACCUUUUCAUUUCAGAGUGUUUGUUAAGUGAUGAAGAGGGUCUCUCUUUGGUUAAUGUAAUUUAAAGAUAAUUCUUUGGAAAGGAGAAGGGAGCCUUUCACAGCUGUAUCAACAAUAUCUUCUCUCUUAAAAAAAAAAAAGCAGCUGACUUGACAUGUCAAGCAUCACAUAUUUGGCCAUGAAAGCAGAAUAUAAGCCAUGCUAGCCAAUAGCACAGGCUUGGAGCAAUGCCACUGAAAAGUUGUUCUGUAAACUGAUGCUACCUUAUUUCUUAGACGCUAGGACGGCUUGCUAAGAUUUAAUAGCAAUAUAGAACUACCACAUUCCUGGUUGAUAUUUCUUUUCUUGUUACAUGAGAUCCAUGCAUGAAGUGAAAAAGAGCAAAUGAACCUCAGGUUUACAUCACCACUGAUAUGUGAAUGAUUGAUCACCCAUUAAAUCACAUACAGAGCUGGUAACAGCACACGGGGUAGCGUUAAAGUAAAAUGUUUGAUAUUCUUUACUCUAAUUAAACAUGGAAAGAAUAUGAUGCAAUCUGUAUUGUAAAUGUUAUUGCAAAUUAUAGACCUAAAGGAGAGGUGUUAUGCCACCUUUAUAGCCCCCAGUUCCUGGAGACUGUGACUUAGAGCUGCCUCAGGGCUGCCCUAAAUUACACCAUUUGGUAAUGACUCCCAAAGGGCUGCUAUGCAUCCAGUGGUUGCUGGAGUGUAAAGUACUUUGGCUAUGCCAGCAGCCCAUCAUUUCACAAUGGAGGCUGAGAGCAGCUGGCAUAGUGCUUCGAGGAAAUCCCCAAGUAGUGGUUUAAGACAUUUUUCUAGCACUUUUUUGUCAUGAGAG
Long non-coding RNA from Dromaius novaehollandiae (emu), 4543 nucleotides. RefSeq lists it as uncharacterized. The record is from RefSeq and is a predicted model, not a curated record. Lineage: Eukaryota; Metazoa; Chordata; Aves; Casuariiformes; Dromaiidae. The transcript has 22 exons.